UCUCCGUAGGUGAACCUGCGGAGGGAUCAUUACAGAGUUCAUGCCCUCCGGGUAGAUCUCCCACCCAUUGCUAUAACUACUCUCGUUGCUUUGGCGGGCCGCUGGGCCCUGCCCGGCCGCCGGCCCCGGCUGGCGCGUGCCCGCCAGAGACCUCACAAACUCCGAAUGUUAGUGUCGUCCGAGUAACUAUACAAUCGUUAAAACUUUCAACAACGGAUCUCUUGGUUCUG
Molecule: unclassified non-coding RNA, 230 nt
Filed under: plant metagenome
Description: partial contains small subunit ribosomal RNA, internal transcribed spacer 1, and 5.8S ribosomal RNA
Source: RNAcentral